AGUUUGGUAUAGGUUGAUGUGCUAUGACUGCAAUCAAGUUAGACUUUUCUGCUCUCUAGGUGUUCUUUUUUCUUAUUUUGGAAAAUCAUUAAUGAUAUAUUCAUUUUGAAGAUCAAAACUCCGGAUCAAAUUGAGAGGAUGCGAGAAACUUGUCGAAAAAAGAUUGGCUUUCAAUUCACCGAAGCUGAGUGUCUCAAGAUUGAUGUAAAAGAGAAGAAAGUCUAUUGCCAAUCUAAUUUAGAGAAUGGGGAAAAAGAAAUUUGAGUGGACUACGACUACCUUGUAAUAUUUGUGGGAGCAAAUGUUAAUACAUUCAAUACUCCUGGUGUGAUGGAGAACUGCCAUUUCUUGAAGGAAGUAGAAGAUGCCCCAGAAGAUACGAAGAACUGUUAUUGAAUGCUUUGAAAAGGCUAGCCUGCCAACUGUAAAUGAUGAGGAGAAGGAGAGAAUUCUUCAUUUUGCCGUUGUUUGAGGUGGCCCAACUGAGGUUUAAAGCAGAACAGCAGCUACAAUGUCAAAGCUACAGAGUUUAAACUCAAGAGUCAUUACUGGAUACUUACUAGCAGGAUCUGCCAUUGGACCCAGUCACCCAGAGGCUUGAAUUUUGUCAGUGAAAUAGUCCAAGAGGCUUGUCUUUAUUCCUAUUUUGCUUGAUUGAUUCUUUCUUUGCGCUUCCCCUAUUGACUGUUUCUUCAGGAUUAUGUUUUCAGUUGUUCCAUUUGCAGAUUCAAAAUCAUGAAUACUCAUGUUAUACUAGAUUCAAAAUCACGAAUACUCAUGUUAUACUAGUUCGGUCUUUUGCCAUUCGGUAUAGGUGGAUCUAUAAUUUUCUUGUCAUUAAUUUAUGUGUGUUUACAUUUGGUAAAGUCCAGUUAUAUUAGUAUUGAGAUUCACUGCCUUUUUAGUACCUUUUAAGCUCAGUCAUGUCGGUAUUUCUUUUUGUUGAAUUUAGUAAUACCAAAAAUCACUGUCAUUAGGUUUAUGUUGCACUGUGAAACUGACUUUGUCAUUCUCUUGCAGGGCCUUGGAUUACAAGUUGUGAAAUAUUUGGCUGCCAAAUAUGAAGAGCUAGGGUGUGAAGUGAAAUGGAUGGGCAAGCCUGAUAAGGUGAUCUAGUCACAUUGGUCUGGUUACCGCUGUUAACUUCACUUCAUGUGAACCUUUAGCUUAAUACAUAUUUCUCUUGCACUUGACUACCAAGAUGAAUUUUGAGCAAGGCUACUUUUUUGCUUUGAAGCAAAGCUUGGUGUAGAAAUUUUGUAGAUUGUUGCUCAUAUGUUUCUAGGAUAUCCUUUGUAGGUUUUGGGGUUUUCUUUUGUGACAUAUGUUCAAUCAUGAAUUUGGAAAGAAAAUUAAUGGAAAGCCCCAAUUUUUGGAUGAUUAUGAAAUGCAUUUCUUUUCCCAGCAGCAGCUAGAUGCAAACUU
Molecule: long non-coding RNA, 1425 nt
Organism: Rosa rugosa (rugosa rose)
Lineage: Eukaryota; Viridiplantae; Streptophyta; Magnoliopsida; Rosales; Rosaceae
Exons: 5
Source: RefSeq, a predicted model, not a curated record